Long non-coding RNA from Pseudoliparis swirei, 1244 nucleotides. RefSeq lists it as uncharacterized. The transcript has 3 exons. The record is from RefSeq and is a predicted model, not a curated record. NCBI's taxonomy places the organism in Eukaryota, Metazoa, Chordata, Actinopteri, Perciformes, Liparidae.
CUUGGUUUGUGUCCCGAUUCCAAAAUGUCGAUGUUAGAUGGUCCGUUAAAUGUGCUCGGCCAGAGGACAACUGGUGAAUCAGUUCGCACUCAAAAUGGAUGUGACCAUCACCAACGAUGGAGCAACCAUCCUGAAGCUGCUGGAAGAGGAGCACCCAGCUGCUACGGUCUUGUGUGAACUGCAGGACAAGGAGGUCGGAGAUGGGACCUCAUCUGUGGUAAUUCUUGCUGCAGAAACGCUCGAGUGCAGAUGAGCUGGUGAAGAAGAAGAUUCACCCCACUUCAGUCAUCAGUGGAUAUCGUCUGGCUUGCAACUAAUAUGAACUGAAAUUAAUUUUCCGUCUUUUUUUUAUAAUCAACAUUGGUUAUUGCUUGGGGCUUCAGAUAUGUCCAUCAAUUUUUGAAAUACAAACUUCCCUUUUCAUCUUCCAGGGAAGCAGUUCGCUACAUUAAUGAGAAUCUCACUAUCGGAACAGAUGAUCUUGGCAGAGACCUCCAUGUCCCCCAACAUCAUUGGAAUGUAUCCCUGCAGUAUGCAGGCAGAGAGUCACAUUUUUUUUGAGGAAGCCCAUAUCUGCCUUACCCCUCUGAUUCAGACUUCUUUGCUAACAUGGUGGAUGCUACCCUCGCAGUGAAGUUUAGACUGCAAGCGAGUGGCCAAAUAUUCUAUUCAAUUCAAUUCAGUUUAUUUGUAUAGCCCAAUUUCACAAAUUAAAAAUUUGUCUCGGAGUGCUUUACAAUCUGUACACAUAGACAUCCCUGCCCCAAAACCUCACAUCGGACCAGGAAAAACUCCAAAAUAACCCUUCGGGGAAAAAAAGGGAAGAAACCUUCAGGAGAGCAACAGAGGAGGAUCCCUCUCCAGGAUGGACAGAUGCAAUAGAUGUAAUGUGUAUCCCAUCAACUGUCAAGUUUUCUAUCACGCACUGCUUAACGUGACACAUCGCAACAUGUGAAAAGUUAAAAAGCACAAAAUCAUGGCCUACUGUUAAUAUCAGAAAAUAUUCAUCGAAGGAAAGUUAGGAAUAUGAAUGAAGGAUAUGUAUUUUUAUUGUACAUGUUUCCCUGGUGAAGAUUGACUGACUUUUUUACAUUUUAUUUGUAAAGAUGUACAUUUUAGGAAACUUAUUGUAUGCAAUAGGUAUGGUUUAAUGUUUAGUUAAGUACUAUAUAUAUUUUUUUAACUGCCUGGUUUUCAUUGCUCAACAAAACAAUGUAUUAGAGGUAAUAAACUGAUUACACUAA